CCCACUCAAAGUCUCAAUCAAUUCCCCCCUUACUGCUAAGUAAUUUCCAUUCUCCUCAACUCCGUAUUGUCCACUGAGUCUCUCCUAGGCAUGUAUCACUUCCUGUUUUAUUUACUAGAAUUAUUUAGUGUCAGUUUUCUCUCCCCUUACAGACUGUGAGUGAAGUCCCAGAAAUCAGGGUAAUUAAUGGAUUUGCUCUCGUAUUCUUUCUCAGGGACAGGGACAUAUCUUAAUCUUGUUGCACACAGUUAUUUGCUGAACAAAUACCCGGUUUGUGAGCCUCUUGAAGGAAGGGAUGAGGGCUUCAUCAUUACUGUGCACUUCCCAUCAUGCCUUGCGCAGGGCUAGGCUUACAGCAGACCUCGUAUUGAGUAUAUAAAACUGGUAGGCACUUUAUUUUACUUUGCAGCUGUAAUAUGCUUUCUUCCCUUUUCAGAGGUCUUUUGGAAGCCACUUAUGGAAGACCCUCUGGAGAGCCACAAAAGAGCAAUUUGUUCUUCCAGCAUGGAGGCUUACAUCUCUUGAAGCACACAGGCUUAGAGAUAUGACUGUUCUAACCUGUUCCUCAAUACUUUUGCUGUUGGAAUUGCCCUCAGUUUUCCAUUGAUAAGAAAAUCAGAAAAGCUGAGCGACUCCUUGAGCUCCACGUCCUCGGGCAGAAGGGUUUCUUUCAUGUUGCUGAUGCUACUUUGGGACAACUCAGUCUGAUUGUGUUGUUAAGCCAGAAGCAUUUAACCUAAACCUCCAUCCCUGCAUGGAGCCAGUUCACCAAAGUGUCUGGUGUGAGGGGGAGAAGAAAGCUGCUGAAACAAUGAGGUCAACCCUCCGAACCAAACAGGGUAAUGCUAGCUGGCCCGACAGAAGAUACGACUGCUAGGAAAUUCUGCACCCAUGUUUAUACAAAACCAAGCAGGAAAUGUUUG
This is a long non-coding RNA of Orcinus orca (killer whale), 923 nucleotides long. RefSeq lists it as uncharacterized. The record is from RefSeq and is a predicted model, not a curated record. NCBI's taxonomy places the organism in Eukaryota, Metazoa, Chordata, Mammalia, Artiodactyla, Delphinidae. The transcript is spliced from 3 exons.